AUAGUAUUGCACAAUUGCAAGAAAUCUUCAAUUGCACAGUAUUGCGCAAUAGCAAGAAAUCUUCAAUUGCACAGUAUUGCGCAAUAGCAAGAAAUCUUCAAUUGCACAGUAUUGCGCAAUAGCAAGAAAUAUCCAAUAGCACAAUAUUGCGCAAUAGCAAGAAAUUGUCAAUUGUACAGUAUUGCACAAUAGCAAGAAAUAUUCAGUUGCACAGUAUUGUGCAAAAGAAGAUACUUCGUAUAAAUUACUAAUUUCUUGAUCAAUUUCAAUGGGGUUUUAUUCUUGAAUUCUUGGGGUUCUUUAAUAUGCUGAAUCUAACCGUGUAUUAAGUUUUUGGAUUUUGGGCCCCGUUAUUAAAUUGGUCCACAUUGAGGUCCAAAGGGUCCAAAAUUUAACUUUGUUUGAUUUCAUCAAAAAUUGAAUUAUUGGGGUUCUUUGAUAUGCCGAAUCUAACCGUGUAUUUAGAUUCUUAAUUUUUGGUUCCGUUUUCAAAUUGGUCUACAUUAAGGUCCAAAGGGUCCAAAAUUAAACUUAGUUUGAUUUUAACAAAAAUUGAAUUUUUAGGGUUCUUUGAUAUGCUGAAUCUAAACAUGUAUUUAGAUUUUUGAUUAUGGGCCCAGUUUUCAAGUUGGUCCAAAUCGGGGUCCAAAAUUAAACUUUGUUUGAUUUCAACAAAAAUUGAAUAUAUGGGGUUCUUUGAUAUGCUGAAUCUAACCAUGUAUUUAGAUUUUUGAUUUUUGGGCCCCGUUAUCAACUUUGUCCACAUUGAGGUCAAAAGGGUCCAAAAUUAAACUUUGUUUGAUUUCAUCAAAAAUUGAAUUCUUGGGGUUCUUUGAUAUGCUGAAUCUAACCAUGUAUUUAGAUUUUUUAUUUGUGGACCCGCUAUCAAAUUGGUUCAUAUUGAGGUUAAAAGGGUCCAAAAUUAAACUUUGUUUGAUUUCAUCAAAAAUUGAAUUAUUGGGGUUCUUUGAUAUGCCAAAUCUAACCGUGUAUUUAGAUUUUUAAUUUUGGGUCCCGUUUUUAAAUUGGUCUACAUUAAGGUCCAAAGGGUCCAAAAUUAAACUUAGUUUGAUUUUAACAAAAAUUGAAUUCUUGGGGUUCUUUGAUAUGCUGAAUCUAAACAUGUGUUUAGAUUUUUGAUUAUGGGCCCAGUUUUCAAGUUGGUCCAAGUUGGGGUCCAAAAUUAAACUUUGUUUGAUUUCAACAAAAAUUGAAUAUAUGGGGUUCUUUGAUAUGCUGAAUCUAAACAUGUAUUUAGAUUUUUGAUUUUUGGCCCAGUUUUCAAGUUGGUCCAAAUUGGGGUCCAAAAUUAAACUUUGUUUGAUUUCAACAAAAAUUGAAUAUAUGGGGUUCUUUGAUAUGCUGAAUCUAACCAUGUAUUUAGAUUUUUUAUUUGUGGACCCCAUUAUCAAAUUGGUUCAUAUUGAGGUCAAAAGGGUCCAAAAUUAAACUUUGUUUGAUUUCAUCUAAAAUUGAAUUAUUGGGGUUCUUUGAUAUUCCAAAUCUAACAGUGUAUUUAGAUUUUUAAUUUUGGGUCCUGUUUUUUAAAUUGGUCUACAUUAAGAUCCAAAGGGUCCAAAAUUAAACUUAGUUUGAUUUUAACAAAAAUUGAAUUCUUGGGGUUCUUUGAUAUGCUGAAUCUAAACAUGUGUUUAGAUUUUUGAUUAUGGGCCCAGUUUU
This is a long non-coding RNA of Mytilus californianus (California mussel), 1680 nucleotides long. RefSeq lists it as uncharacterized. The transcript is spliced from 3 exons. NCBI's taxonomy places the organism in Eukaryota, Metazoa, Mollusca, Bivalvia, Mytilida, Mytilidae. The record is from RefSeq and is a predicted model, not a curated record.